AUUUUGACUAGUCCAUCAAUCAUUAGCUCCUGUACUCAUCUAUUGUAAUAAUAAUUUUUCGGUUUUUGCAGUUGUGUUAAGUUUAGGCAGAAAAUCUGCCUAAGCGCCAGAUACCUUGUUUCGGAGGACUUCCUGGCGAUCGGCAAAUAGAUCAGGGGUAUCCAAAAUUUAUUUUAAAAUGAAUCACCGGUUAUUAAAAAAAAAACAAAUUCUCGAAAAACGCGUUUUUCUAACUUGCAAGUGGAUAUUAGCCCUUAAAGUAAUAAACCAAUCACAUGUUGAGCACUUUAAAACCAAAAGAGUGAGCAAAUUCUCUAAAACUGGUGGCAGUAAAUUUAAAAUAUGAAUACAUGCUUUUCAAUAGUAUCCCUAUUAAGAAGUCGACGGAUUAAAUGAUAUGCAAAUUGAACCUCUGAAGUACUUGAUAUACCCUUCUUUGGCAUUCGCAUUAAGGGGUUACUAGAAAUUCUAAACAUUUAUUAUCGAGCCACACACGUAUUGUGUUCGAUAAUUUGAUUAUGAAAAGAGUCUGGCAUUUUUUUCUGGAAGAAAGCAUGUAUAUAUUAAAUGGAAACUAACAAAGCCGCUAUUUUUCAAGGCCUGUACAAGUGAAUACCUGAAACUUGAGCCGCAUGUAUUGAGGAGCUCGUUAUCAUAGUGAU
Molecule: non-coding RNA, 662 nt
Organism: Bactrocera oleae (olive fruit fly)
Lineage: Eukaryota; Metazoa; Arthropoda; Insecta; Diptera; Tephritidae
Source: RefSeq, a predicted model, not a curated record